GAACGGAGCCGAGAGGAGCUUGCUUUUCUUAGCUUAGUGGCGAACGGGUGAGUAACGCGUGAGUAACCUGCCCUGGAGUGGGGGACAACAGUUGGAAACGACUGCUAAUACCGCAUAAGCCCACGGAUCCGCAUGGAUCUGCGGGAAAAGGAUUUAUUCGCUUCAGGAUGGACUCGCGUCCAAUUAGCUAGUUGGUGAGGUAACGGCCCACCAAGGCGACGAUUGGUAGCCGGACUGAGAGGUUGAACGGCCACAUUGGGACUGAGACACGGCCCAGACUCCUACGGGAGGCAGCAGUGGGGGAUAUUGCACAAUGGGGGAAACCCUGAUGCAGCGACGCCGCGUGGAGGAAGAAGGUUUUCGGAUUGUAAACUCCUGUCGUUAGGGACGAUAAUGACGGUACCUAACAAGAAAGCACCGGCUAACUACGUGCCAGCAGCCGCGGUAAAACGUAGGGUGCAAGCGUUGUCCGGAAUUACUGGGUGUAAAGGGAGCGCAGGCGGACCGGCAAGUUGGAAGUGAAAACUAUGGGCUCAACCCAUAAAUUGCUUUCAAAACUGCUGGCCUUGAGUAGUGCAGAGGUAGGUGGAAUUCCCGGUGUAGCGGUGGAAUGCGUAGAUAUCGGGAGGAACACCAGUGGCGAAGGCGACCUACUGGGCACCAACUGACGCUGAGGCUCGAAAGCAUGGGUAGCAAACAGGAUUAGAUACCCUGGUAGUCCAUGCCGUAAACGAUGAUUACUAGGUGUUGGAGGAUUGACCCCUUCAGCGCCGCAGUUAACACAAUAAGUAAUCCACCUGGGGAGUACGACCGCAAGGUUGAAACUCAAAGGAAUUGACGGGGGCCCGCACAAGCAGUGGAGUAUGUGGUUUAAUUCGAAGCAACGCGAAGAACCUUACCAGGUCUUGACAUCCGAUGCAUAGCUUAGAGAUAAGUGAAGUCCUUCGGGACAUCGAGACAGGUGGUGCAUGGUUGUCGUCAGCUCGUGUCGUGAGAUGUUGGGUUAAGUCCCGCAACGAGCGCAACCCUUAUUGCCAGUUACUACGCAAGAGGACUCUGGCGAGACUGCCGUUGACAAAACGGAGGAAGGUGGGGAUGACGUCAAAUCAUCAUGCCCUUUAUGACCUGGGCUACACACGUACUACAAUGGCGUUUAACAAAGAGAAGCAAGACCGCGAGGUGGAGCAAAACUCAAAAACAACGUCUCAGUUCAGAUUGCAGGCUGCAACUCGCCUGCAUGAAGUCGGAAUUGCUAGUAAUCGCGGAUCAGCAUGCCGCGGUGAAUACGUUCCCGG
RNAcentral lists this ribosomal RNA (1295 nucleotides) under uncultured bacterium. RNAcentral describes it as "bacterial SSU rRNA". It matches the Rfam family "Bacterial small subunit ribosomal RNA", at positions 64 to 1377 of the family's 1533-position model. The record is from RNAcentral.